RNAcentral lists this ribosomal RNA (254 nucleotides) under uncultured bacterium. Its description in RNAcentral is "partial 16S ribosomal RNA". It matches the Rfam family "Bacterial small subunit ribosomal RNA", at positions 524 to 776 of the family's 1533-position model. The record is from RNAcentral.
CACGUAGGCACCAAGCGUUGUCCGGAUUUAUUGGGCGUAAAGAGCUCGUAGGCGGUUCAGUAAGUCGGGUGUGAAAACUUUGGGCUUAACCCAAAGCGUGCAUCUGAUACUGCUGUGACUUGAGUUCGGUAGGGGAGUGGGGAAUUCCUAGUGUAGCGGUGAAAUGCGCAGAUAUUAGGAGGAACACCGGUGGCGAAGGCGCCAUUCUGGGCCGAAACUGACGCUGAGGAGCGAAAGCAUGGGUAGCAAACAGG